RNAcentral lists this ribosomal RNA (419 nucleotides) under Laona grandioculi. Its description in RNAcentral is "partial 16S ribosomal RNA". It matches the Rfam family "Bacterial large subunit ribosomal RNA", at positions 1829 to 2596 of the family's 2925-position model. Lineage: Eukaryota; Metazoa; Mollusca; Gastropoda; Cephalaspidea; Laonidae. The record is from RNAcentral.
AGCCCUGAGAAAUUAUUCAGGGUGAAGCCUGCCCAAUGAAAGUUUUUUAAUGGCCGCGGUACUUUGACCGUGCUAAGGUAGCAUAAUCAGUUGACUUUUGAAUGAAGUCUGGAAUGAAGGGAAAAACGGGGCAAAGCUGUCUCUAGUAUUUUAAUAUGAAGUUACUAAUUAAGUGAAAAAGCUUAAUUAUGAUAAAAGACGAUAAGACCCUUAGAGUUUUAAUAUUUUUUCGUUGGGGCGACGUAGAGCCAAAAAUAAAACGCUCUAAUUUAAUUAUAAAACGAUUAUAUAUGACUAGAUAAACUACCUAAGGGAUAACAGCAUAAUCUUAAAAUAAGGUUUGUGACCUCGAUGUUGGACUAGGAAGCCUUUAGACUAGCCGUUUAAAAGGGGGAUUCUGUUCNAAUUUCUUAACUCCU